GAUAUCCAGGACCGAACGGGCAAAUGUCAAAAAUUCCCAUGGGACAUACUGGCGUUUCUGCAAGAAAUGCCGUAAUGUUCGGCCAACCAGGUGGCGUUACUGGGAGGACAGGCGAAAUCCAGCGACAUCCCGGUACUUCUGGUACUUCGUAACAUUCGCCUGGCGUUAUCUCUCCGCCAGCAGAUGCCCGGAAUGUAAGUGUUCCGUGGACGAGCCUCUUGCGUCUCCCCGGCAAGGGGAGGAGCCGAACCGAACAACGGGAUCAGAGCAGGAACGAACGAUUCAGGCGACGGAGGACGUUGAGACGCCGGAGUAAUAAUGCCAUGCAUAUAAUAUCAGGAAACCCAGUCAACCCAGCAGUCAACCCAUAUCUUCGUUCGAAUGGAGGAGCACAUUUCUGAGAUUGGGAUCGGUGGUGCUUCUUAGUGACGAUUUCGAAGCCUUAUUCCCGUGCUUUGAAACAAAAUCAAUAUUAGAUAUUGUUUUAUCACUUUCACUCAUUUUUGCUGGAAGAUUAUUGUUGUCCCGGGCCGUGUUUCUGUCGUUAAACGCUCCUCUCUUUUAAUAUUUAAUUUCUUCUUUUUGUCGUUCGAUUUCCUGCCUUAAUUGGGUCGCUAAUGUUUCGUCAUCAGAUUAUCUGAUGAGUGUGACAGAGCUGGCUUUCCACAUCCAAAUUGUGUACCUGUCAUCCUUUCUUCUCUUUUUUUUAUGCUUUGACUUGUAGUUUUUAUACGCAGCGACCGCUGUUAUUAAUAAUUAGUUAGAUAGGAACCAACAAUUUCACUCAUUGUCCCACAAUCUCUAGCAUUCCGCUCCGUUUCGAAGCACCAACUCAUUGAUUGCCCUACGAUUAGGAAUUAGAGAAGCAGGUUGGGGAAGUUUGUAUCUAACAUACAAAAAUCUGGAUAUCAACUUGGGCUGAUGAGCGGCUUUCCGACUGUAAAAUGAGCGUUUCGCUUGUCGUCAAUACGUGGUCAUCUGCCUGUGAUCCUCCGCGACAGGCCUAGAUCAACGAAUGAUUGCUGUUAAUGCGCGGCAGGUGGUUGUACUUGUUUUGUUUAUUGAAAGGUCAGAUGCAGGAGGUGACACAGGCCAAAAAAAAUUAAAUUAAAUUAAAUUAAAUUAGAAUUGAGC
RNAcentral lists this small RNA (1134 nucleotides) under Histoplasma capsulatum. Its description in RNAcentral is "hypothetical RNA". The record is from RNAcentral. RNAcentral also lists the same sequence under 1 other name. Lineage: Eukaryota; Fungi; Ascomycota; Eurotiomycetes; Onygenales; Ajellomycetaceae.